UUAUAACUUACCACAUUUAACAGGGGGAUAUACCAAACGGAGGGAGAAGAGCAUCGCUAGGCUGGGGAGUAUUAUUUCUGAUAGCGUUUGAUGGUUACAAACCCUGAGUAGACGGGGAGCCUGCAGCUCUCCAGGUAACUUCCUCAGUUUGUUUAUAUAUGUUGGCUAGGAGCAACUUACUCCGUCCUUCUGUAUCCGGACUUCUGUGAAAUAAUUAAGGGCUUAAUUUGUGUGAGGAAUCGACCUAUAUCAAUAGUUACGAAUGCAAUACCUAAAUCUGGAUUUACCUACAUAAGUACCGUGCACGUGCCAGGGGUCGGACAGCUGUCGUGAAGUUCAGUGGCUGGACUCUAAAAGUUUGUAAAGGAUAUGGAACCUGCUGAAGUAACAGACAUUACUAAGAAAUUACUAAGUACAGGAACAACACAUUACUGGAUUGUACCAGUAUAAUCACAGCAAGGUGACGGGACUCUAGAACUAUAGACAGGCAAGUACCCAACUACAUAGAGGUGGAUAGCUACAGAGUGACACACUAUUAACAGCGUUGGAUAGUCUCAGAGUGCCGAACUACAUAGAGGUGGAUAGUCACUCUAUCAACAGCUUCGGAUAGUCUCAGAGUGCCUCACAACACAGCAGUAGUUCCACACUAUAAACAUUGGUGGCUCAUUUUGUCACACAGUGGUGCCGCACUAUAAACAUUGGUGGCUCUUUUUGUCACACAGUGGUGCCACACAAUAAACAUUGGUGGCUCUUUUUGUCACACAGUGGUGCCACACUAUAAACAUUGGUGGAUCUAUUAGUGUACAGUGCCACACCACACAGACUUGGUUCCAUCACCACCAAACUUUCACCACAGGGUGGAUACAUUUGUGGAUACUGCCGCCUGUUUGUUGAUACACCCACCCACCUGUGGAUACAUCGUUUGGUGACAGUGAAGUCAGCCUGUGGUAGCAGUGGUGAUCGAGACAUCAUGGAGAUCAGCUGUGUCCAUCAGGUGUUAACUGUUUUAUUGGGAUUUUACUUAUUUACAGUGUCCAGUGCCAGCGUCCAGAACAUAUUUGUCAGUGGCUGUUCCCGGGAGACAAUGGAGUUGGGAUGUCCGUUGGGUCACAAGAUAGCCAUCAAAAGACUGUUUUAUGGUGUCAAGUCUGACCGCAAAUGUGCAGACAGGGGACGUAAGCAUAAGAGUGACUGUUGUCGUCGGACAUAUGACGACUGUCUGAUAUUUAACGAGGAUAAGUACAAUGUGCUGAAUAUAAUGUGUUCAGGCUACAGGAACUGUGAGGUUGACGUGAAGAAAAUUAACACCCGAGGGGAGUGUGAUAACCCAGAGUGGCGGCUAACAGACUACAUGACCGUCAUCUACGACUGUGUGGCAGACACAGAUGUUGCCAGGUUCUGUUCCAAUGACCAUAAGAGGGGUAAGGAGUUGUACUUGUCCAAUAUUGACUACCCCUCACCCAUAGUGCCAGGGCCACACACCUGUCGCUGUGUGCUCAAGUCUGGUUAUACCCAAGGUCUGUCCAUCCAUGCCAUCGACAUCAUGAUCACUCAGCCAGAGGACAGUACGCUCUGCCCCCAGCGCCUUAGUAUCCAGGACACCUACGGCCAGAUCAAGAUCAUCCGCUGUGGCCAUGGGGGGCUGUAUGGGUUCCGUACUAUCUACAAUCGAAUGGUGACCAAUGUCAGCCUCGAACUGGAGAGCAACGUGAAUGACAGUCGUGGCUACGUUUGGCUACACCUCAAAAGCGAGAACACUGAAGACUUUGUGAAUCUAUACUGUGGAGAGGCUAUCAGUUCCCUCACUGCUGGACCAGCCACAAACACCAGUGUGAUCCAGAAUCCAACAAGAGCGCCCCCUGUAGGGAACAAUACUGUAUAUCCUAGCAAAGGGUGGUCAACUCCACGGCUCAUACCUGAUAUGGUGGCCAUCAUUGGAGGGAUUGCUGCUGCUGUUGCCCUGAUACUACUGGUCUGUCUGGUAGCCAUUGCUGUCCAUUGUACAAGAGUCAGAGAGCAGCGCCAUCCCAAGUUGCCUGAAGUCAUUCCAUCACCAAUGGUCCGCGGGAAAUCUUACGAUAGUGACGAGCCUGACGCUACCAUACAGAGGUAUAACUACGACGAGGAGCGCUACUGUUCCAUUAAGAGGUCACCAAUGAAAAUGACCAAAUACUCAGAAUUUGAUGGUGAUUCUGACAAAAAAUUGAAGGAGGCCUUUCUUGCACCUGAUAAUACUCCAGAGGAUGAUAUGCACAUAAUGUCUAAUGGGGCACCUCCUCGACCACCAUCUCCUGACCCCGCCCUACUGGAUGUUACCCCUCCACCAAUGUACAAUGGCGAUUUGGAGAAAUAUUACACAAUGAACCCACAGAAACCCAAGACAGAAAUAGCAGAAAUUAGAAUAACAUCUUCUUUACCUCACAGAGGGAAAACUAAAAAAUCUGUGACAUUUUCUCCAGUUGCUAUGGUUACUCCUUUACCUUCAGGAUCAGAGGAAUCCAUUGGCUCUGAUGGAGACAGAAAUUUAGCCAAUGUGAUAGACAUUUACCAGAAUUUACAGGGCAAGCAGGGCCCGAGGUCCCCAGACCUGAAGGAAGCGAAACAUGUGAUGAUCUUGCCCCCUCCUCCUGACGAGAACAGCGUGCCAAUAAACACUCCAGAUCCUCUGGAACUGGCCGAAAUGGAGGAAUUAUGGAAGACGCUGACAACCACCACCAUGGAUGAGGGUGCUUAUGACAAUAUUGAGUAUUUGCUGGCACAGAAUAGGGCCAAUAAUCACUGUGAGGUCAAUGGGGUCAAACCCAAAAGUUUUGAAACAGGUGUGUGACAUUGAGUCUGCCUUCACCACACAUAUGUACAUAGUACAAUAUCAUUAAAAAUAAUUGUGUUGAGACUAUAAACAGCAAACACAAACACUUGAUCCUGUACGACCAUUCUGUUUAUCCCAUCAUAGUUUAUGGUAUAUAAAGGGGCAUAACCCCUAUAUCACUGCCCAGCUUAAAUUUCUUUGUGCAAUAUUAUUAUAUAUUUCUUUUUAGUACUUAACUCAGGUUUAAUUAUUUAUUGAUAGCUAUUUAUGUAUUUCUUUUUCUAUAAAAUUGUGGUUUUAUCAGAUGAAAGCUGAAGGACUUUCUAAUAACUUUCAUUUUAGUUAUGUAAAUGUAUGAUUUGGUGUUAUAUCAAUUAUUUACAGAUCAUGCUUUUAUCAUCUGGAUAAUCAAAAUAAACUUGCUUAUGAAUGAAAUAACCUUUCUUCUGAAUCAUAGCCAUUAUGGUAUCACAAAUGUUCUGUAAAAGUGUUUAAUUCUUUGUAUUCAGAAUUCUCACCAGUUUUAAAUACUUGAAGUCUGUUGAUAUUUUUCUCAUCAAAAUAUAUAUGUAAAGUAGUGUUUUUAAGUACAAUUUCUGAAAAAAUUACAAACAUACUAACUAAUCUAUUACAUACAGAAAUGUGUGCCUUUUUAUAUUGCUGAGUUUUUCUAUGUUGUUGAAAUAAUCUUCAAAUCAUUUAAACUGCUGAACAUUUCAAUACAAAAAAUGCCCAAACUCACAAAACAAAUACACACAUUUUGUACUUGUUAAUUAUAAAAUAACAAUCUUUGAAUGUAUUUAAAGUUAGGUUGAUGGUGAUUAACACAUUCACCCCUGAAAUAUCAUAAUAAACUAUUCCAUCCUUUGAAUUGGAAGAGUUCAAAUGUGUCUUCAGGGGUGAAUGAGUUAAUAGCAGAACUCUGCUGAAAUGUUUAGAUGGACCAUCUAUGUUUAAUUCAAUUAAGGACAUUUCUUUUAAAACAUGUCAUCGGCUGUCCUAGCAUUUAUUUCACUUUCAUUGGUUGAACACUGGUGAUAAGUGUAAAUACCAACUAUUAAGCCCACCAAAGUAAUAGUACGGUAUGAUAAUGGUCACACUUGUAAAUAAAACCUUGUAUGCUGUAUGUACAUGGUCAAACAUUGGAACAAAUGUAUUCAUUUCAUCCCUUCCCUAGGUCCUCCAAGUCUCCACAGGUAAACAUGGGAAUAAAUGUACAAAUUUCAUCCCUUCCCUAGGCCUAGGGCUCCCAGUCUCCACAGAUAAACAUGGUAAUAAGUUAACUCAUUUCAUCCCUUCCCUAGCUAUAGUGCUCCAAAACUCCACAGGUAAACAUGGUAAUAAAUGUACUCAUUUCAUCCCUUCCCUAUAGUCCAGAGCUCCACAGAUAAAACAAAAUUGAAUAAUUGUUUAUGAACCCAUUUCAUCUUCCCUAGACUUCCCAGUCUCCACAGGUGAACAUGGAAAUAAAAGAACCCAUGUCAUCCCAGCUGUCACUAGGUAUCUGGGUCACCAGUAAAACGGUUGUUAAGAUCUCCAAAACUUAAAUCAUGUUAAAUGAACAUGUUAAAUGAAAAAGUAGAAUAAAAAUGUUGGUGAAUCAACACAAUUAUCCGGCACGGAGAUCCAACGUCCUACAGGCAAUGGUCUGUGGUCUGUCUGGUACAGGAAUCAGAGGUUGAUAUCACAAGGAUAUUCAAACCUUAUUUACCUUAUUAAAUCAUGUUAGUUAUCAAAACACUGCACGCAUUGUUACACACUCUUUCCCUAUUUCUUACAUUUUUUCCUACUUUUUUGAAAAGUACUGUAUUGACAAAUGAUUUUUGUAUGUUUUAUCACGCAACUUCUGCAUUACAUAUUCAAUUGAUAGAAAUAAAGUAUUAAUAUAUAAAAUUUACCUUAUCAUUCCAGUUUGUUUUCAUAUACCAUAGUUGUAUACAAACAUAGCUUAUAAUGUAAGUCAUAACCUUGGUAGUUAUAAAUAAAGACAACUCAUGAUGUAAGUAUAAAAAUGUAUCAUAGAAAUGUAUGGAAUCAUUGUAACCAUAGAAACGUAAAAUAAUGUAAACUGUCUAGUCAUGUCUGUUGUUAACGUGUUUUAUAACUUUUGUAAGAAGCUUUGCACAUAUUGGUUCUAAUGUCUUGUUCUUGCACAUCCAUAGUUUGUGUGUGUGUUGUGUGGUGUUGGCAAGUACAGAGGAUAUCAUACAGGUUCUAUUCCUUUUUUCCUCUGACCCUCUGACCUUCUGACCUUCUGACCCUGCCACCAGACCUUAUGAGAAAGUUGGACAUUUGACCCUAAACAAGGGAGUUAAUAAGUCUCUUCCUCCACCAAAGACGGGAUUGGAAUAAUGAACAAAAGAGAUGUUUUUACAAGGGGAAUUCACUCCUGAGGGCCUAGUUCAAGCUUGUUAUGCUGUUCCCUACUCUCUUUACUUACAACAGGUCACUUCUAUGUAUACACAAAUUAUGAGAAUGUCCUGUAACAAUUAUCUGCUUGAAGUCAAAAGAACUACACUCGAUUUUCAGAAUUGAGAGGAAUGAAAAUGAUUUUGAUGUAUGAAUUUUUAAAAUAUGGAAAUUUUGUUCACCAGGCCAAUGGUGAGAGGGUCAGGGGGUACUCAGAGUUUUAUAGGUUGAAGUAUGAAUGAUAUUCAUGCUUCUCUUAUAAAAAACACCUGUUUUGUUUGUGUGUCCAAAAUACAUGUUCAAAACACUGAACAACAAUAUUAAUUUACAAUGAUAAGCGGCAGAAUUGUAAUACUGCAUGUAUAUUUUCCCAGAUUUCCUUUCAAGAAUAAUGGACAUUGCAAAUAAAAUAAAAUUUCAUUUGAGUUGUUGAAUGACACCUUUAACAAAUAUUGCAUUUUUUCUAAAAAAUGAUAU
Molecule: unclassified non-coding RNA, 5695 nt
Filed under: Mizuhopecten yessoensis (Yesso scallop)
Lineage: Eukaryota; Metazoa; Mollusca; Bivalvia; Pectinida; Pectinidae
Description: uncharacterized LOC110456436, transcript variant X6
Source: RNAcentral